ACAUGCAAGUCGAGCGGUAACAGGUGUAGCAAUACAUGCUGACGAGCGGCGAACGGGUGAGUAAUGCUUCGGAAUCUGCCCAAUGGUGGGGAAUAACCAGCCGAAAGGUUGGCUAAUACCGCAUGAGCCCUACGGGGGAAAGCAGGGGAUCGCAAGACCUUGCGCCGAUGGAUGAGCCGAAGCCGGAUUAGCUAGUUGGUAGGGUAACGGCCUACCAAGGCGACGAUCCGUAGCUGGUCUGAGAGGACGACCAGCCACACUGGGACUGAGACACGGCCCAGACUCCUACGGGAGGCAGCAGUGGGGAAUAUUGGACAAUGGGGGAAACCCUGAUCCAGCGACGCCGCGUGUGUGAAGAAGGCCUGCGGGUUGUAAAGCACUUUUAGUGGGGAUGAAAAGCUCAGGGCUAACACCUCUGGGUCUUGACCUAACCCACAGAAAAAGCACCGGCUAACUCUGUGCCAGCAGCCGCGGUAAUACAGAGGGUGCGAGCGUUAAUCGGAAUUACUGGGCGUAAAGCGUGCGUAGACGGUUACGUAAGUCGGGUGUGAAAGCCCCGGGCUC
Molecule: ribosomal RNA, 564 nt
Filed under: uncultured bacterium
Lineage: Bacteria
Description: bacterial SSU rRNA
Rfam family: Bacterial small subunit ribosomal RNA
Source: RNAcentral